Molecule: ribosomal RNA, 498 nt
Filed under: uncultured bacterium
Lineage: Bacteria
Description: SSU rRNA
Rfam family: Bacterial small subunit ribosomal RNA
Source: RNAcentral
AGAUUGAACGCUGGCGGCGUGCCUAACACAUGCAAGUCGAGCGGUAACAGGUGUAGCAAUACAUACUGACGAGCGGCGAACGGGUGAGUAAUGCUUUGGAAUCUUCCCAGUAGUGGGGAAUAACCAGUCGAAAGAUUGGCUAAUACCGCAUACGUCUGUAAAGGGAAAGCGGGGGCUCGUAAGACCUCGCGCUAUUGGAUGAGCCAAAGUCGGAUUAGCUAGUUGGUGGGGUAAUGGCCUACCAAGGCGACAAUCCGUAGCUGGUCUGAGAGGACGACCAGCCACACCGGAACUGAGACACGGUCCGGACUCCUACGGGAGGCAGCAGUGGGGAAUAUUGGACAAUGGGGGAAACCCUGAUCCAGCGACGCCGCGUGUGUGAAGAAGGCCUGCGGGUUGUAAAGCACUUUUAGUGGGGACAAAAGCUACGGAUUAAUACUCUGUGGUCUUGAUUUAACCCAAAGAAAACGCACCGGCUAACUCUGCGCCAGCAGCCGC